UCCAAUUUUCUAUGUCAACUUUCAAAUUUAGAUCUCUUUCCUAUUACCUCCAAUUCAUUAGGUCCCUUAACCUCAAACUCCUACCACCACCUUAGACGAUGUCAUUUUCUUCUCUCCGUGGUCGAUCCGCUUCAAAGACCUCACCUCCCUCCAUUUCCGGUGACUCCAAGUUUCGAUUAUGAUAUUUCCGAGGUAUAUUCAUGCUCUCAUCAUCAAAUCUUAUGGGACUAUCUCUCAUGCUUGGUACAAAUCAAAGAGGGCUUCAACUGUUCAGAUUUUGCUUCCCCUCUUCACCAGUAUUGCAUGCGCCAAAGAUCAAUAGCCUCCAUGCCUCCGGACCUCCUUAGGAAGCAACACUUAGUCGACUCGAUCGGUUGCCGCCUCUGAGGGGCCCUAUCAUUCUCUCAGAAGAAGAGAUCUCUGAGGGCUCAUCUCCAUGGAAAAAGACUUUGGUUGGCUACCCCUUGGCCUUGAUAAUAAAAGAGAUUCCUUGCAAAGGCUAAGACAAAUAUCUAACCAAGUUUCGUAUUCUAUCUCUGAUGAUUUCCUGCGGUUGUCUGAAAGGAAAUAUCUGCAUGAGAUAAAUUAAUAAGACUCAAGAGGUUAUUGCUGAAAAUCUUUCUGAAGAAUAGAUUACAUUGAGUUCUUUAUGGAACAACGCAUGACAACAAUAUGAAGUGAUGAUAUUUAUUCAAAGCCUUUCAAUACUUUGAUAAUGAUAGUUGUGGCUGAGUUGUCAGCAAUAUGAACUCUUCGAUCUCUAUUUCACUGACACUGGAACUUUAUUCUACAAAUAUUUUUGCUAUAUAAUUUUAACUAUUUGGUUCUGAAGUUCCUCAUAAAUUUUCUAGUAAUCAGGGAUGAGUUGGAAUUAGCCAUGAAGGAGCAUGGAUGAUGCCACAAACAAGGAUAUGAUAUCUUCUUAAUUCUUUUGGGUUAUUUUUUUUUUUACUUUUUUUCAUAAGUCUUAGACAGAUUAGGGCUUGAGUUUUCAU
This is a long non-coding RNA of Asparagus officinalis (garden asparagus), 995 nucleotides long. RefSeq lists it as uncharacterized. The record is from RefSeq and is a predicted model, not a curated record. The transcript is spliced from 4 exons. Lineage: Eukaryota; Viridiplantae; Streptophyta; Magnoliopsida; Asparagales; Asparagaceae.